This 590-nucleotide ribosomal RNA is filed under the name Hanseniaspora opuntiae. Its description in RNAcentral is "eukaryotic LSU rRNA". It matches the Rfam family "Eukaryotic large subunit ribosomal RNA", at positions 51 to 655 of the family's 3401-position model. The record is from RNAcentral. Lineage: Eukaryota; Fungi; Ascomycota; Saccharomycetes; Saccharomycodales; Saccharomycodaceae.
CGGAGGAAAAGAAACCAACUGGGAUUACCUUAGUAACGGCGAGUGAAGCGGUAAAAGCUCAAAUUUGAAAUCUGGUACUUUCAGUGCCCGAGUUGUAAUUUGUAGAAUUUGUCUUUGAUUAGGUCCUUGUCUAUGUUCCUUGGAACAGGACGUCAUAGAGGGUGAGAAUCCCGUUUGGCGAGGAUACCUUUUCUCUGUAAGACUUUUUCGAAGAGUCGAGUUGUUUGGGAAUGCAGCUCAAAGUGGGUGGUAAAUUCCAUCUAAAGCUAAAUAUUGGCGAGAGACCGAUAGCGAACAAGUACAGUGAUGGAAAGAUGAAAAGAACUUUGAAAAGAGAGUGAAAAAGUACGUGAAAUUGUUGAAAGGGAAGGGCAUUUGAUCAGACAUGGUGUUUUUUGCAUGCACUCGCCUCUCGUGGGCUUGGGCCUCUCAAAAAUUUCACUGGGCCAACAUCAAUUCUGGCAGCAGGAUAAAUCAUUAAGAACGUAGCUACCUCGGUAGUGUUAUAGCUUUUUGGAAUACUGCUAGCUGGGAUUGAGGACUGCGCUUCGGCAAGGAUGUUGGCAUAAUGGUUAAAUGCCGCCCGUCUG